CACCUCUAGCAUAACAAGUAUUAGAGGCAUUGCCUGCCCAGUGACUGUAGUUAAACGGCCGCGGUAUCCUGACCGUGCAAAGGUAGCAUAAUCACUUGUUCCUUAAUUAGGGACUUGUAUGAACGGCUAAACGAGGGUCCAACUGUCUCUUAUUUUCGAUCAGUGAAAUUGACCUUCCAGUGAAGAGGCUGGAAUCUCAAAAUAAGACGAGAAGACCCUAUGGAGCUUAAAUUAAUAAACUUAAAUAUUCAUUCCCCAUACACCUAACGGAAUAAAAAUAGAAAUAGUAAGUUUAAAAUUUUGGUUGGGGUGACCUCGGAGAACAGAAAAUCCUCCGAACGAUUAUAACAUAGACUAACAAGUCAAAGUAAACUAACUUUCCAAUUGACCCAAAACAAUUUGAUCAACGGACCAAGUUACCCUAGGGAUAACAGCGCAAUCCUAUUUAAGAGUCCAUAUCGACAAUAGGGUUUACGACCUCGAUGUUGGAUCAGGACAUCCCAAUGGUGCAGAAGCUAUUAAUGGUUCGUUUGUUCAACG
RNAcentral lists this ribosomal RNA (540 nucleotides) under Praomys misonnei. RNAcentral describes it as "partial 16S ribosomal RNA". It matches the Rfam family "Bacterial large subunit ribosomal RNA", at positions 1816 to 2586 of the family's 2925-position model. The record is from RNAcentral. Lineage: Eukaryota; Metazoa; Chordata; Mammalia; Rodentia; Muridae.